Molecule: unclassified non-coding RNA, 873 nt
Filed under: Hevea brasiliensis (rubber tree)
Lineage: Eukaryota; Viridiplantae; Streptophyta; Magnoliopsida; Malpighiales; Euphorbiaceae
Source: RNAcentral
UUCACUCUGUUCUUUCCCCAAUUUCUAAGAUAUUCCGAAGCAUUGUUAUCAAAGACGUGUUGACGCAAAAGUGGCAUAUGGGUAUGGGUGGUUUCCCCCAGUUUCAAGAUAUUCAGUAGCAUAUUUUAUCAUUAAGGUGAAAUUGGCACCUGGAGCUGGAGAAUUGGCAAAAGGUGCAAGAACGCGCAUAAGGGAAGGAUGCAUUUAUUAAAAGAUGUACAGAAAUAAGAUAAUAUCUUUGAUGUGUAAUUGCUAAAAAUUAAGUGCUAAAGACAUAAAAGAAAACAUGGUAGAGCAGUGCAAAGAAGAGAAUUAAAUAUGCAUGUUCAAUAUGAUCUAUAGGAGUGAAAGAGUGUAAAGAAAAUGAUAACCACCCACCAAUAAAUUUAGGUUGACAAAAAAUUCAAGAUCAAAAUUAGCUAAAUUUUGAGUUCACUUAAACUACAUCAGCACUCCAAAAGGGAUGGUGAGAACUAUGUCAUUAUUGGUCUUGAGAAAACUGCUAACAAUUUUAUGGCAGUAAUUGUUAGUACUUAGUACUAUAGCAUCUUUGGUGAUAUCAGAAAUGGUAAACGAUCUGAUUCAAGGUGACAAUCUACACAAAGUAUGUCCAGAUCACAAAUUCAUAAUUGUAUUAUAAAAGCUAGUUUAUGACCCAAAACUCAACCUAAACAGCAUAUAUAUUCCUUUAAAGUUUGCCAAGUGCUGACAUAAUGUUGAAAACUGCAAUGAGCUAAAGGAAGCAACACUUGUUUUUGCAUGCAUGGGGAGCUGAAAUAUGGAUGUUAUAUGUCAAAAUGAGGGCCCUUCAAUUGUCGUUUGUCUCGUACAGGGCAGCAACUCUUUUUUAGAAUAUCCUAAUCACUUCAAGCG